CUCCUCCGCAUGCGUGGCCUGCCUCCGCCCUCCGGUCUCUCAGGAUGCUGGGCGAGGGUGGCCCCUCUCUGGCAACCCGCGCAGGGCCUGGCCCGCUCCCUUGGCUACAGUUUGCACUGGGGCCGGCAGUUCGAGCGUUUGCAAGGGUUCUCCCGAGCUCCCGCCGGGCGUGUGAGCCGCUUUGAAUUCGGAGACGGAGGAUUUCUCCAGAAAGUGCAGUCCUCAGUGGUCUCAAGAAUACAACUUCUAGUUACCCAGCAGCAAGGUCCUGGGCCCUAAAAUACAAAGGUGUUGGGAGUGUUACUCUUAUGCAGUCCACCUGAUCUUGUCUUUGCCUAAUCGGAGAUGACUGCCCGGGAGACGGAUCCCUGUCUGUAUUCAGCAGCUAUCCUGAGUAGAACUUUUCCUCUUGCCUAACUGGGAAUGGAUUUCACAAAAGUCCCAUGUAAUUAAG
Long non-coding RNA from Heterocephalus glaber (naked mole-rat), 454 nucleotides. The record is from Ensembl. NCBI's taxonomy places the organism in Eukaryota, Metazoa, Chordata, Mammalia, Rodentia, Bathyergidae.